This 564-nucleotide ribosomal RNA is filed under the name uncultured bacterium. RNAcentral's name for it is "bacterial SSU rRNA". It matches the Rfam family "Bacterial small subunit ribosomal RNA", at positions 338 to 916 of the family's 1533-position model. The record is from RNAcentral.
CCUACGGGAGGCAGCAGUGGGGAAUAUUGCGCAAUGGGCGAAAGCCUGACGCAGCGACGCCGCGUGUGGGAUGACGGCCUUCGGGUUGUAAACCACUGUCGCGAGGGACGAAGCUCUGACGGUACCUCGAAAGGAAGCACCGGCUAACUCUGUGCCAGCAGCCGCGGUAAUACAGAGGGUGCGAGCGUUGUCCGGAAUCACUGGGCGUAAAGGGCGCGUAGGUGGCCUGAUAAGUAGGGGGUGAAAUCUCGCGGCUCAACUGCGAGGCUGCCUCCUAAACUGUCGGGCUCGAGCAGAGUAGAGGCAGGUGGAAUUCCCGGUGUAGCGGUGGAAUGCGUAGAGAUCGGGAAGAACAUCGGUGGCGAAGGCGGCCUGCUGGGCUCUUGCUGACACUGAGGCGCGACAGCGUGGGGAGCAAACAGGAUUAGAUACCCUGGUAGUCCACGCCGUAAACGAUGGGUACUAGGCGCCGGGGGGAGCGACCCCUUCGGUGCCGUCGCUAACGCAAUAAGUACCCCGCCUGGGGAGUACGGCCGCAAGGCUGAAACUCAAAGGAAUUGACGG